UUUGGGCCCUGGCAAGGUCUGAGGAGGGAGCGCUGCGAGUGAGAUAAACAUUCUCUGUUCGGGAGCUGGUUGGUUGGAAGGGAAGACAAGAGGAUGUGGGGACAACAGGUCAAAGUGUUUGUCCAGGCUGAGAGGAGAGAGACCGUCACGGCCCUGGAGCAAUAAGAUGAUAUGGACUUUUCCACCCAGAAGAGGCCUUGGCAGAAACCCAGGGAAGAAAAGUCCAUUGAGUAGGGAUAGAAAACAGUUUCUCAAGCUUGCCUUUGCUCCCUCUUUCUCUCCAGCCUUACUGAGCCUAAUCAGGUCAAGCAUCCAGCUCCUGCUGCCAGACACAGUGGCAUUGUUUAAAUAUCCCUGGCCUCCCCCCAAUACCCUGUCCCCACUGGGAACCGAGUUCCGACAAAGGAGGCCCUGAGGGACGGGCCUGAGAGGACAGAGGCCCAAGGCAGGGUCACUCCCUCUGUCACCCUCUUCUCCCUCCGACUUACUAUUUUUCUGCCAGGGACCUGAGAGGGAAAACAAGCUGGCCUCUGGAAAACCUGAUGGCUGUUUUUGUUUACAUAAAGAACACCCAAGAGCAUGGCAAAGAAGCUGGAGCCAUGGGCAGGACACAACUGAGCUUGGCAUCUGGGCCUGGAUCUGCCACUGCCUCUGGCUUCACCUCUCUGGGCCUCAGGUUGCAUGAAGGCAUCAAAGUAGAAACAACUUUGAGAUCCCUACUAACCCAUAUAUUGUAAGCUUUCAGCAAACAUUUACUUAACAUACACCAUGUGUCUGAUAUGGUACUAAACCCAAGCUCCCAGAUAAGGUGAAUGAUUGCCCCAAUUUUCCCAGGACUCUCCCAGUUUUAGCACCAAAACCCUGAACAGUUGGUCACACCAGCCCCAGACCUCAAGCAGCUCAUGGUAUGGAAACAAUGACAGAUGUGUAAUAGCAUGUGAUGAUUGGUCUAGUAGAGAGUUUACAAAGGCAUGGGACUCGGUGGAGGCAGAGACUAGCUUUUGGCAGGAGAGCUGGUAAAUUUCACCAUAGUGACACUUGUGAGCAGUGGGGAACUAUGGGUGGAUUAAAAAAAAGUCAUCUGUAUUGAGGUAUGAAUUAUAUACAAUACAGUGUACAUACUUCAAUGUACAGUUCAAUGAAUUUUGACAAAUACAUAUAUCCAUGUAACUAUAACAUCAAUCAGAAAAUUUAUACCACCCCAACAACUUCCCUAGUGCUCCUUUGUAGUCAAUCCUAUGCCAACUAUCCCAUCCCAGGUAACCACUUACCUGGUUUCUAUAAUUAUAGAUUCGUUUUAUGUAUUCUAGGACUUCAUAUAAAUGAAAUCAUAAAGUCUGUGCUCUUUAUUAUCUAACUUGUUUGCUCAGCAUGUUUUGAGAACCAAAGAUGUUGCAUAUCAAAGUAGUUUUGUUUCUUUUUUUUACUCCAGGGUAUAGCUAUAAUCACAAUUUGUUUAUCCAUUUACCUGUUGACGAACAUUUGAGUUGUUUCCAGUGUGUUUGUUUGUUUGCUUGCUAUUAUGGAAAUGCUGUUACGAAUAUUAUAUCAAGUCUU
Pteropus alecto (black flying fox) is the source of this 1557-nucleotide long non-coding RNA. RefSeq lists it as uncharacterized. NCBI's taxonomy places the organism in Eukaryota, Metazoa, Chordata, Mammalia, Chiroptera, Pteropodidae. The record is from RefSeq and is a predicted model, not a curated record. The transcript has 2 exons.